Molecule: ribosomal RNA, 497 nt
Filed under: uncultured bacterium
Lineage: Bacteria
Description: partial 16S ribosomal RNA
Rfam family: Bacterial small subunit ribosomal RNA
Source: RNAcentral
GAUGAACGCUGGCGGCGUGCCUAAUACAUGCAAGUCGAGCGAACAGACGAGGAGCUUGCUCCUCUGACGUUAGCGGCGGACGGGUGAGUAACACGUGGAUAACCUACCUAUAAGACUGGGAUAACUUCGGGAAACCGGAGCUAAUACCGGAUAAUAUAUUGAACCGCAUGGUUCAAUAGUGAAAGACGGUUUUGCUGUCACUUAUAGAUGGAUCCGCGCCGCAUUAGCUAGUUGGUAAGGUAACGGCUUACCAAGGCAACGAUGCGUAGCCGACCUGAGAGGGUGAUCGGCCACACGGGAACGGAGACACGGUCCAGACUCCUACGGGAGGCAGCAGUAGGGAAUCUUACGCAAUGGGCGAAAGCUUGACGGAGCAACGCCGCGUGAGUGAUGAAGGUCUUCGGAUCGUAAAACUCUGUUAUUAGGGAAGAACAAAUGUGUAAGUAACUAUGCACGUCUUGACGGUACCUAAUCAGAAAGCCACGGCUAACUACGUG